UACGGAGGGUGCAAGCAUUGAUCGGAAUUACUGGGCGUAAAGGGCGCGUAGGCGGCUGGAUAAGUCAGAUGUGAAAUUCUGGGGCUCAACCCCAGGACGGCAUUUGAAACUGUCUAGCUAGAGUGCAGUUAGGGUAAACGGAAUUCCACGUGUAGCGGUGAAAUGCGUAGAUAUGUGGAAGAACACCAGUGGUGAAGACGGUUUACUGGGCUGUAACAGACGCUGAGGCGCGAAAGCAUGGGGAGCAAACAGG
Molecule: ribosomal RNA, 253 nt
Filed under: uncultured bacterium
Lineage: Bacteria
Description: partial 16S ribosomal RNA
Rfam family: Bacterial small subunit ribosomal RNA
Source: RNAcentral